UUAACUUAAAUUUGUAUGGAUUUGGAACGUUUUCCUAAGUUUGCCGCUAGGAGCGCUGUUUUAGCUGCAUACAAAUUUGAGUUA
Molecule: microRNA precursor, 84 nt
Filed under: Bombyx mori (domestic silkworm)
Lineage: Eukaryota; Metazoa; Arthropoda; Insecta; Lepidoptera; Bombycidae
Description: mir-2807 microRNA precursor family
Rfam family: mir-2807 microRNA precursor family
Source: Rfam by way of RNAcentral